UUUAAUUUCAUCUCUAAUUAGUCAUGGAUAUUACAACUUCUUGCUCCAUUCUUUUCAAUUCCCAAAUUCCUAUCAUCUCCUUGUUAGGGCGAUCCCAUUUCUAGAUUCACUUUUUCAAUAUGCUUACAAUAUUAAUGAUGCCUACGAAAUGCAUUAGUUUAAUGACAAGAUCUAUUAUCCUAAUGUAUUUUGAUAUUGCGAAGCAUUAUUCCUUUUGUUUGAAAUGGAGAAUACCUUCCAUGAACAUCUUGCAGGUUCUGCAUAUUGUAAUCUUCAAUCUAAUGUGUCAGGGAAGUUAAUCCCUAUACAUGCAUAUGUUUUACUCAUGGAUAAUUUUUGUUAAGUGAAUGCUUAAAGGUUAGGCUGGUAAAUGAGAGCUCAUGGAUAAUUUUUUUCAUAAUCUAACAGAAUAGUUUUUGACAUGUGAUUCAUUCAGGAAGCCGUAUGUAUUGCUGAAGCUUUGUUAUAAAUUUUAAUGUGUGAAUCAUUUGCGCAUAGGGAGUUAUGCAUCUUACCUAUUACCAGCCGCUACAUUAGUAGCUGUGGGAUUAUGUUGUUACAUCUGGUGGAACUGGAAGUCGGUUUCAAGAGCCAGGUCCUUUACUAAUUGUAAAAUUAAUGUCGAGCUAUAUAUGAAAGGUAAGUUAUCGUGCACUCAUUUAUUUUUUCAUACAAGUGAGUGAAGUGAAGUUAGCUUCUUUCUUCGCUUCCCCUCUACAAUCUACAUUCAAGGAUGUUCUAUUUAAUUUGCACAUAGCAUAUUAUGAUGUUGCUAUUGAAUGCAGGUGAAAGCCAUCAAUGCCAGUUGCAAAGAAUUCAUGUUAAAGCCAUCAAUGCAGUACAAAGAAUUCAUGUUAAAGCCAUCAAUGCCAGCUGCAACAACUGUGGGUCAUGCAAAACACUAAUAAUUGCUAUUGUGGAAUUGUUCAUUGAAAUACAUUUGACAUAGAAUAGAUAGUGUAAGGCUACAAAUGGAGAAGGAUGGAGAUUGAUUUGCAUCCAUUCUACAGGAUAGAUAUUGGUGUCCAACUUUGGGUGAAAAUUUGUGUAGUGAAGCAAAGCAAGGGCCAUCCUACAAAAAAUGUCCACAAUUGUUCUAGAAUUGCUUUAUAAAAGGGUCCAAAAGAUGUCCUAUGUAUGAUUGUGCUGGUUGCAAAUUAAUCAGCUGAAAAGAACAAAGAAUAUGUAAACUUGUUAGGUGAUUGUAUUAAAUGCUGUAAAAAUGUCAUUUUGGGCAUAAGUUGUAUUAGAUUGACCAAAAUGGUUCAAAUUUGAGUAUGCAAAUGCCACAUGUGACUAAGAGGCUAUUGCUGUAAAUUGCAUUAAAUUAUAUCACUCUGCUUCUCAUGCCUAAUGUGAGAGCAUCCUUCAUGUA
Prosopis cineraria is the source of this 1375-nucleotide RNA transcript. RefSeq lists it as uncharacterized. The record is from RefSeq and is a predicted model, not a curated record. The transcript has 2 exons. Lineage: Eukaryota; Viridiplantae; Streptophyta; Magnoliopsida; Fabales; Fabaceae.